RNAcentral lists this ribosomal RNA (253 nucleotides) under uncultured bacterium. Its description in RNAcentral is "partial 16S ribosomal RNA". It matches the Rfam family "Bacterial small subunit ribosomal RNA", at positions 524 to 776 of the family's 1533-position model. The record is from RNAcentral.
UACGUAGGGUGCGAGCGUUAAUCGGAAUUACUGGGCGUAAAGCGUGCGCAGGCGGUUCGUUGUGUCGGCGGUGAAAGCCCCGGGCUUAACCUGGGAAUGGCCGUUGAAACUGGCGAGCUGGAGUGUGGCAGAGGGGGGUGGAAUUCCGCGUGUAGCGGUGAAAUGCGUAGAGAUGCGGAGGAACACCGAUGGCGAAGGCAGCCCCCUGGGCUAACACUGACGCUCAGGCACGAAAGCGUGGGGAGCAAACAGG